UCAGCCAUUUAAUCGCAACAAUGGUUAUUUUCUACUAAUCAUAAAGAUAUUGGUACUUUAUAUUUUAUCUUCGGAGCAUGAUCUGGUAUAGUAGGAACAUCAUUAAGAAUUUUAAUUCGAGCUGAAUUAGGACACCCUGGUGCUCUAAUUGGAGACGAUCAAAUUUAUAAUGUUAUUGUAACAGCUCAUGCUUUUAUUAUAAUUUUCUUUAUAGUAAUACCUAUUAUAAUUGGAGGGUUUGGAAAUUGAUUAGUUCCUUUAAUAUUAGGAGCUCCAGAUAUAGCAUUCCCUCGAAUGAAUAAUAUAAGUUUUUGAUUAUUACCUCCUGCAUUAACUCUAUUAUUAGUAAGAAGUAUAGUAGAAAAGGGAGCUGGAACAGGUUGAACUGUUUAUCCACCUUUAUCAUCAAUUAUUGCUCAUGGUGGAGCUUCAGUUGAUUUAGCUAUUUUCUCUCUUCACUUAGCAGGAAUUUCUUCAAUUUUAGGAGCAGUAAAUUUUAUUACAACUGUUAUUAACAUACGAUCAACAGGAAUUACAUUCGAUCGAAUGCCUUUAUUUGUUUGAUCAGUUGUAAUUACUGCAUUAUUAUUAUUAUUAUCUCUUCCUGUUCUUGCUGGAGCUAUUACUAUACUAUUAACUGAUCGAAAUUUAAAUACUUCAUUCUUUGACCCAGCUGGAGGAGGUGAUCCAAUUCUUUACCAACACUUAUUCUGAUUCUUUGGACAUCCAGAAGUUUAUAUUUUAAUUUUACCUGGAUUUGGAAUAAUUUCUCAUAUUAUUAGUCAAGAAUCAGGAAAGAAGGAAACAUUCGGUUCUUUAGGAAUAAUUUAUGCUAUGUUAGCAAUUGGACUUUUAGGAUUUAUUGUAUGAGCUCAUCACAUAUUUACUGUUGGAAUAGACGUUGAUACUCGAGCUUACUUCACUUCAGCUACAAUAAUUAUUGCUGUACCUACUGGAAUUAAGAUUUUUAGUUGAUUAGCUACAUUAUACGGAACUCAACUAACUUAUUCUCCAGCUAUUUUAUGAGCUUUAGGAUUCGUAUUCUUAUUUACUGUAGGAGGUUUAACAGGAGUAGUACUAGCUAACUCAUCUGUUGAUAUUAUUUUACAUGAUACAUAUUAUGUAGUUGCUCAUUUCCACUAUGUACUUUCUAUAGGAGCUGUAUUUGCUAUUAUAGCAGGAUUUGUACAUUGAUACCCUCUAUUUACUGGAUUAACUCUAAAUAAUAAACUUUUAAAAAGUCAAUUUGUUAUUAUAUUUAUUGGAGUAAAUUUAACAUUCUUUCCUCAACAUUUCUUAGGAUUAGCCGGAAUACCUCGACGAUAUUCUGAUUAUCCUGAUGCUUAUACAGCAUGAAAUGUAAUUUCAACAAUCGGUUCAACAAUUUCAUUAUUAGGAAUUUUAUAUUUAUUCUAUAUUAUCUGAGAAAGUUUAGUAUCUCAACGACAAGUAAUUUUCCCAAUUCAAUUAAAUUCAUCAAUUGAAUGAUUACAAAAUACUCCACCUGCUGAACACAGAUAUAAUGAAUUGCCUUUACUAACUAAUUUCUAAUAUGGCAGAUUAGUGCAAUGGAUUUAAGCUCCAUAUAUAAAGUAUUUUACUUUUAUUAGAAACUAAUGUCAACAUGAGCAAAUUUAGGUUUACAAGAUAGUUCUUCUCCAUUAAUAGAACAAUUAAUUUUUUUUCAUGAUCAUGCAUUAAUAAUUUUAGUAAUAAUUACAGUAUUAGUCGGAUAUUUAAUGUUUACAUUAUUUUUUAAUAAAUAUGUUAAUCGUUAUUUAUUACAUGGACAAACAAUUGAAAUUAUUUGAACUAUUUUACCUGCAAUUAUUUUAUUAUUCAUUGCUUUCCCUUCUUUACGAUUAUUAUACUUAUUAGAUGAAAUUAAUGAACCAUCAGUAACUUUAAAGGCUAUUGGUCAUCAAUGAUAUUGAAGUUAUGAAUAUUCAGAUUUUAAUAAUGUUGAAUUUGAUUCUUAUAUAAUUCCUACAAAUGAAUUACCAGUAGACGGAUUUCGUUUAUUAGAUGUAGAUAAUCGAGUAGUUUUACCAAUAAAUUCUCAAAUUCGAAUUUUAGUAACUGCUGCUGAUGUAAUUCAUUCAUGAACUGUUCCUGCUUUAGGUGUAAAGGUUGAUGGUACUCCUGGUCGUCUAAAUCAAACUAAUUUCUUAAUUAAUCGACCAGGUUUAUUCUAUGGACAAUGUUCAGAAAUUUGUGGAGCUAAUCAUAGUUUUAUACCAAUUGUAAUUGAAAGUAUUCCUGUAAAUUAUUUUAUUAAGUGAAUUUCUAAAAAUAAUUCUUCAUUAGAUGACUGAAAGCAAGUACUGGUCUCUUAAACCAUUUUAUAGUAAAUUAGCACUUACUUCUAAUGAAAAAAUUAGUUAAAAAUAUAACAUUAGUUUGUCAAACUAAAAUUAUUAAUUUAUUAAUAUUUUUUAAUCCCUCAAAUAGCACCAAUUGGUUGAUUAAGCUUAUUUAUUAUUUUUUCAAUUACAUUUGUAAUUUUUAAUGUAAUAAAUUACUAUUCAUAUAUUCCUUCAAUACCUAAAUCAAAUUUAAGUAAUAAAACUCAUUCAACAAAGUCAUUAAAUUGAAAAUGAUAACAAAUUUAUUCUCUGUUUUUGACCCUUCAUCAAGUAUUUUUAAUCUUUCAUUAAAUUGAUUAAGAACUUUUUUAGGAAUUUUAAUGAUUCCAUCAAUAUACUGACUUAUACCAUCUCGAUACCACAUUUUUUGAAAUAAUAUUUUAUUAACACUUCAUAAGGAAUUUAAAACUUUACUUGGUCCUAUAGGAGCAAACGGUUCUACAUUUAUUUUCGUUUCAUUAUUUUCUAUAAUUUUAUUUAAUAAUUUUAUAGGAUUAUUUCCAUAUAUUUUUACAAGAACAAGUCAUUUAACUUUAACUCUAACUUUAGCUCUUCCUUUAUGAUUAUGUUUUAUAUUAUAUGGAUGAAUUAAUAAUACUCAACAUAUAUUUGCUCAUUUAGUUCCUCAAGGAACUCCAGCUAUUUUAAUACCAUUUAUAGUAUGCAUUGAAACUAUUAGUAAUGUAAUUCGACCAGGAACUUUAGCUGUUCGAUUAACAGCUAAUAUAAUUGCUGGACAUCUACUUCUUACUCUUUUAGGAAAUACAGGACCUUCUUUAUCUAUAGUAUUAAUUAGUUUUUUAAUUAUUACACAAAUUGCACUAUUAGUUUUAGAAUCAGCAGUUGCAAUAAUUCAAUCAUACGUAUUUGCUGUUCUAAGAACAUUAUAUUCUAGAGAAGUUAAUUAAUGUCAACACAUUCAAAUCACCCAUUUCAUUUAGUAGACUAUAGUCCAUGACCAUUAACAGCAUCAAUUGGAGCUAUAACAACAGUUGCAGGAAUAGUAAAAUGAUUUCAUCAAUAUGAUAAUUCAUUAUUCUUAUUAGGAAAUGUUAUUACAAUUUUAACUGUGUACCAAUGAUGACGAGAUGUUUCUCGAGAAGGAACAUAUCAAGGUCUUCAUACACUUUCUGUUACUACAGGUUUACGAUGAGGAAUAAUUUUAUUUAUUCUUUCAGAAGUUUUAUUUUUCGUUUCAUUUUUUUGAGCAUUUUUCCAUAGUAGCUUAUCUCCUUCAAUUGAAUUAGGAGCAAUAUGACCACCUUUAGGAAUUACUCCUUUCAAUCCAUUCCAAAUUCCUUUAUUAAAUACUGUAAUUUUACUAACUUCUGGAAUUACUGUAACUUGAACUCAUCAUAGUUUAAUGGAAGGCAAUCAUUCACAAACUACACAAGGAUUAUUUUUUACAGUAUUAUUAGGAAUUUACUUUACAAUUCUUCAAGCUUAUGAAUAUAUUGAAGCUCCAUUCACAAUUGCAGAUUCAGUUUACGGUUCUACUUUCUUUAUAGCAACAGGAUUUCAUGGUCUUCAUGUAUUAAUUGGAACAACUUUUUUAAUUGUUUGUUUAGGUCGACAUUUAAAUAACCACUUUUCAAAAAAUCACCACUUUGGAUUUGAAGCUGCUGCUUGAUAUUGACAUUUUGUUGAUAUUGUUUGAUUAUUCCUUUAUGUAUCUAUUUACUGAUGAGGAGGAUAAUUUAUUA
RNA transcript from Musca domestica (house fly), 4069 nucleotides. It is a transcript of the gene named cytochrome c oxidase subunit 1-like, with no coding region annotated. The transcript has a single exon. The record is from RefSeq and is a predicted model, not a curated record. Lineage: Eukaryota; Metazoa; Arthropoda; Insecta; Diptera; Muscidae.